This 311-nucleotide ribosomal RNA is filed under the name Meriderma carestiae. RNAcentral describes it as "bacterial SSU rRNA". It matches the Rfam family "Eukaryotic small subunit ribosomal RNA", at positions 80 to 345 of the family's 1831-position model. Lineage: Eukaryota; Evosea; Eumycetozoa; Stemonitida; Stemonitidae. The record is from RNAcentral.
UCUGAAUCUGCGUACGGCUCCGCACACCAGUUGUAAACCAAAGCAAGCAAGCCCGGUUUCGACGCCUUUCGGGGCUAGAAGCCGGGCUACAAGGAUAACCCUGGUAAUUCUGAGGCUAAUACUUGACACAGAACCUGCCGACUGGGCUUCGGUUCGGGAAGCGGGGGAUGUGCGACUAUCGGGCCAACAAAACCGGAAAGAGCGCACGUUCAGACCACUUAAAAAGGCUUCGGGUCCCUCGGGAUCCGGGGUUGUGGCUCUUGCAGCGUGCUUCUGACCUAUCAACUAGACGGCAGCCUAAGGGACAUGCU